GACGAACGCUGGCGGCGUGCCUAAUACAUGCAAGUUGAGCGCUGAAGGUUGGUACUUGUACCGACUGGAUGAGCAGCGAACGGGUGAGUAACGCGUGGGGAAUCUGCCUUUGAGCGGGGGACAACAUUUGGAAACGAAUGCUAAUACCGCAUAAAAACUUUAAACACAAGUUUUAAGUUUGAAAGAUGCAAUUGCAUCACUCAAAGAUGAUCCCGCGUUGUAUUAGCUAGUUGGUGAGGUAAAGGCUCACCAAGGCGAUGAUACAUAGCCGACCUGAGAGGGUGAUCGGCCACAUUGGGACUGAGAAACGGCCCAAACUCCUACGGGAGGCAGCAGUAGGGAAUCUUCGGCAAUGGACGAAAGUCUGACCGAGCAACGCCGCGUGAGUGAAGAAGGGUUUCGGAUCGGAAAACUCUGUUGGUAGAGAAGAACGUUGGUGAGAGUGGAAAGCUCAUCAAGUGACGGUAACUACACAGAAAGGGACGGCUAACUACGUG
Molecule: ribosomal RNA, 497 nt
Filed under: uncultured bacterium
Lineage: Bacteria
Description: partial 16S ribosomal RNA
Rfam family: Bacterial small subunit ribosomal RNA
Source: RNAcentral